GAUGAACGCUGGCGGCGUGCCUAAUACAUGCAAGUCGAGCGAACAGACGAGGAGCUUGCUCCUCUGACGUUAGCGGCGGACGGGUGAGUAACACGUGGAUAACCUACCUAUAAGACUGGGAUAACUUCGGGAAACCGGAGCUAAUACCGGAUAAUAUAUUGAACCGCAUGGUUCAAUAGUGAAAGGCGGUUUUGCUGUCACUUAUAGAUGGAUCCGCGCCGCAUUAGCUAGUUGGUAAGGUAACGGCUUACCAAGGCAACGAUGCGUAGCCGACCUGAGAGGGUGAUCGGCCACACUGGAACUGAGACACGGUCCAGACUCCUACGGGAGGCAGCAGUAGGGAAUCUUCCGCAAUGGGCGAAAGCUUGACGGAGCAACGUCGCGUGAGUGAUGAAGGUCUUCGGAUCGUAAAACUCUGUUAUUAGGGAAGAACAAAUGUGUAAGUAACUAUGCACGUCUUGACGGUACCUAAUCAGAAAGCCACGGCUAACUACGUG
This 497-nucleotide ribosomal RNA is filed under the name uncultured bacterium. Its description in RNAcentral is "partial 16S ribosomal RNA". It matches the Rfam family "Bacterial small subunit ribosomal RNA", at positions 28 to 507 of the family's 1533-position model. The record is from RNAcentral.